RNAcentral lists this ribosomal RNA (428 nucleotides) under uncultured Desulfovibrionaceae bacterium. RNAcentral's name for it is "partial 16S ribosomal RNA". It matches the Rfam family "Bacterial small subunit ribosomal RNA", at positions 355 to 774 of the family's 1533-position model. Lineage: Bacteria; Pseudomonadati; Thermodesulfobacteriota; Desulfovibrionia; Desulfovibrionales; Desulfovibrionaceae. The record is from RNAcentral.
UGGGGAAUAUUGCGCAAUGGGCGAAAGCCUGACGCAGCGACGCCGCGUGAGGGAUGAAGGUUUUCGGAUCGUAAACCUCUGUCAGAAGGGAAGAAGUGGGUAUAUGCUAAUAUCAUGUACCUUUGACGGUACCUUCAAAGGAAGCACCGGCUAACUCCGUGCCAGCAGCCGCGGUAAUACGGAGGGUGCAAGCGUUAAUCGGAAUCACUGGGCGUAAAGCGCUCGUAGGCGGCUUUGUAAGUCGGGGGUGAAAUCCCACAGCUCAACUGUGGAACUGCCUUCGAAACUACAUUGCUUGAGUGUCGGAGAGGAUGGCGGAAUUCCAGGUGUAGGAGUGAAAUCCGUAGAUAUCUGGAGGAACACCGGUGGCGAAGGCGGCCAUCUGGACGAUGUCUGACGCUGAGGAGCGAAAGCGUGGGGAGCAAACA